CAUAUUUCUUGACAAAUUCUAGUCUGCUUGAAGCCCAUUUCUUUUAAACAUUCUGAGCUUCUCUUCUGCAUUUUGAUUUGUUUUGCCACUUCUUUCAUGUGACAGUCUUGUUUCUCUCCUACUGUGUCCAUUUCUUGCCAUUUUGAACUGCAUUAUAAUUCUUUUAGCAUCUAAGUUCGAAUGUUUUUUUUAAUGAUACGGCGAAGAUUGAGCUCCACCAGAUUUUUAACUUUAGGUACACUAAACUUCACACUAUUUAAUUUUUUUCUCAUUUUUAUUUAUUUGUAUCUCAAUUCAUUUAUUUGUUUCACCAAUUAAACUCUACGUCUAACAAGUUGUAGUCUAUACCAAUUAUAUUUUAAUUAUACCAUGAUACCAUAAAUUAUUAACUUAAAUCUUAAUUUUUUCUCUAUCUUUUAUACAGGUAUAUGAAGCUAACUAUUGGAUCAAGACUAAUUGCAAAUGAAGUGUCACUGCAUUCCUCCAUUUCUUAGUCCUAGUUUAGAAGUAAUAUUUCUCAGUUAGACUUUUAUGUUGGACAUAUUCACUUUAGUUAUGUGUCUUUUAAUUUAAGGAGCUUUUAUUUCAAUAU
This 592-nucleotide long non-coding RNA is filed under the name Nicotiana benthamiana. RNAcentral's name for it is "long non-coding RNA (NBEN_LNC041872)". The record is from RNAcentral. Lineage: Eukaryota; Viridiplantae; Streptophyta; Magnoliopsida; Solanales; Solanaceae.